GUUAUAUGGUCAAGUGAAGAAGCGCAUACGGUGGAUGCCUUGGCAGUCAGAGGCGAUGAAAGACGUGGUAGCCUGCGAAAAGCUUCGGGGAGUCGGCAAACAGACUUUGAUCCGGAGAUGUCUGAAUGGGGGAACCCAGCCAUCAUAAGAUGGUUAUCUUGUACUGAAUACAUAGGUGCAAGAGGCGAACCAGGGGAACUGAAACAUCUAAGUACCCUGAGGAAAAGAAAUCAACCGAGAUUCCCUUAGUAGUGGCGAGCGAACGGGGACUAGCCCUUAAGUGGCUUUGAGAUUAGCGGAACGCUCUGGAAAGUGCGGCCAUAGUGGGUGAUAGCCCUGUACGCGAAAAUCUCUUAGUCAUGAAAUCGAGUAGGACGGAGCACGAGAAACUUUGUCUGAAUAUGGGGGGACCAUCCUCCAAGGCUAAAUACUACUGACUGACCGAUAGUGAACUAGUACCGUGAGGGAAAGGCGAAAAGAACCCCGGAGAGGGGAGUGAAAUAGAUCCUGAAACCGUAUGCGUACAAGCAGUGGGAGCCCACUUUGUUGGGUGACUGCGUACCUUUUGUAUAAUGGGUCAGCGACUUAUUUUCAGUGGCGAGCUUAACCGAAUAGGGGAGGCGUAGCGAAAGCGAGUCUUAAUAGGGCGUCUAGUCGCUGGGAAUAGACCCGAAACCGGGCGAUCUAUCCAUGGGCAGGUUGAAGGUUGGGUAACACUAACUGGAGGACCGAACCGACUACCGUUGAAAAGUUAGCGGAUGACCUGUGGAUCGGAGUGAAAGGCUAAUCAAGCUCGGAGAUAGCUGGUUCUCCUCGAAAGCUAUUUAGGUAGCGCCUCAUGUAUCACUGUAGGGGGUAGAGCACUGUUUCGGCUAGGGGGUCAUCCCGACUUACCAAACCGAUGCAAACUCCGAAUACCUACAAGUGCCGAGCAUGGGAGACACACGGCGGGUGCUAACGUCCGUCGUGAAAAGGGAAACAACCCAGACCGUCAGCUAAGGUCCCAAAGUUAUGGUUAAGUGGGAAACGAUGUGGGAAGGCUUAGACAGCUAGGAGGUUGGCUUAGAAGCAGCCACCCUUUAAAGAAAGCGUAAUAGCUCACUAGUCGAGUCGGCCUGCGCGGAAGAUGUAACGGGGCUCAAACCAUACACCGAAGCUACGGGUAUCAUCUUAGGAUGAUGCGGUAGAGGAGCGUUCUGUAAGCCUGUGAAGGUGAGUUGAGAAGCUUGCUGGAGGUAUCAGAAGUGCGAAUGCUGACAUGAGUAACGACAAUGGGUGUGAAAAACACCCACGCCGAAAGACCAAGGUUUCCUGCGCAACGUUAAUCGACGCAGGGUUAGUCGGUCCCUAAGGCGAGGCUGAAAAGCGUAGUCGAUGGAAAACAGGUUAAUAUUCCUGUACUUCUGGUUAUUGCGAUGGAGGGACGGAGAAGGCUAGGCCAGCUUGGCGUUGGUUGUCCAAGUUUAAGGUGGUAGGCUGAGAUCUUAGGUAAAUCCGGGAUCUUAAGGCCGAGAGCUGAUGACGAGUCAUCUUUUAGAUGACGAAGUGGUUGAUGCCAUGCUUCCAAGAAAAGCUUCUAAGCUUCAGGUAACCAGGAACCGUACCCCAAACCGACACAGGUGGUUGGGUAGAGAAUACCAAGGCGCUUGAGAGAACUCGGGUGAAGGAACUAGGCAAAAUGGCACCGUAACUUCGGGAGAAGGUGCGCCGGUGAGGGUGAAGGACUUGCUCCGUAAGCUCAUGCCGGUCGAAGAUACCAGGCCGCUGCGACUGUUUAUUAAAAACACAGCACUCUGCAAACACGAAAGUGGACGUAUAGGGUGUGACGCCUGCCCGGUGCCGGAAGGUUAAUUGAUGGGGUUAGCUAACGCGAAGCUCUUGAUCGAAGCCCCGGUAAACGGCGGCCGUAACUAUAACGGUCCUAAGGUAGCGAAAUUCCUUGUCGGGUAAGUUCCGACCUGCACGAAUGGCGUAACGAUGGCGGCGCUGUCUCCACCCGAGACUCAGUGAAAUUGAAAUCGCUGUGAAGAUGCAGUGUAUCCGCGGCUAGACGGAAAGACCCCGUGAACCUUUACUAUAGCUUUGCACUGGACUUUGAAUUUGCUUGUGUAGGAUAGGUGGGAGGCUUUGAAGCGUGGACGCCAGUUCGCGUGGAGCCAUCCUUGAAAUACCACCCUGGCAACUUUGAGGUUCUAACUCAGGUCCGUUAUCCGGAUCGAGGACAGUGUAUGGUGGGUAGUUUGACUGGGGCGGUCUCCUCCUAAAGAGUAACGGAGGAGUACGAAGGUGCGCUCAGACCGGUCGGAAAUCGGUCGUAGAGUAUAAAGGCAAAAGCGCGCUUGACUGCGAGACAGACACGUCGAGCAGGUACGAAAGUAGGUCUUAGUGAUCCGGUGGUUCUGUAUGGAAGGGCCAUCGCUCAACGGAUAAAAGGUACUCCGGGGAUAACAGGCUGAUACCGCCCAAGAGUUCAUAUCGACGGCGGUGUUUGGCACCUCGAUGUCGGCUCAUCACAUCCUGGGGCUGAAGCCGGUCCCAAGGGUAUGGCUGUUCGCCAUUUAAAGUGGUACGCGAGCUGGGUUUAGAACGUCGUGAGACAGUUCGGUCCCUAUCUGCCGUGGACGUUUGAGAUUUGAGAGGGGCUGCUCCUAGUACGAGAGGACCGGAGUGGACGAACCUCUGGUGUUCCGGUUGUCACGCCAGUGGCAUUGCCGGGUAGCUAUGUUCGGGAAAGAUAACCGCUGAAAGCAUCUAAGCGGGAAACUUGCCUCAAGAUGAGAUCUCACUGGAACCUUGAGUUCCCUGAAGGGCCGUCGAAGACUACGACGUUGAUAGGUUGGGUGUGUAAGCGCUGUGAGGCGUUGAGCUAACCAAUACUAAUUGCCCGUGAGGCUUGACCAUAUAACACCCAAGCAAUU
Molecule: ribosomal RNA, 2918 nt
Filed under: Pseudomonas fluorescens
Lineage: Bacteria; Pseudomonadati; Pseudomonadota; Gammaproteobacteria; Pseudomonadales; Pseudomonadaceae
Description: 23S ribosomal RNA
Rfam family: Bacterial large subunit ribosomal RNA
Source: RNAcentral